UUAGGUGUAGCUCAGUGGUAGAGCACAUGUUUAGCAUGUGUGAGGGCCUGGGUUUAAUCCCUAGCAUAAGAA
This 72-nucleotide transfer RNA is filed under the name Heterocephalus glaber (naked mole-rat). It matches the Rfam family "tRNA". From Rfam's summary of the family: Transfer RNA (tRNA) molecules are approximately 80 nucleotides in length. Their secondary structure includes four short double-helical elements and three loops (D, anti-codon, and T loops). The record is from Rfam by way of RNAcentral. Lineage: Eukaryota; Metazoa; Chordata; Mammalia; Rodentia; Bathyergidae.